Homo sapiens (human) is the source of this 572-nucleotide long non-coding RNA. Ensembl annotates it as SOX2 overlapping transcript. Its record names the gene SOX2-OT. Lineage: Eukaryota; Metazoa; Chordata; Mammalia; Primates; Hominidae. The record is from Ensembl.
GGCUAGGUCUUGGAGGCUGGUGUAAGGCGAUGUGGGUGAAGGCAGGAGGCUGAUGGAAAGACUGGGGGGAAGAAAAGCCGAAAUGGAUUCACGGUGCCUUGGAUGAAGGACGAGAGGGGAACUGCAAGCUCCUUCAACUGGUUCUGUCCGGUGAGAAGUGAUCAAGCUUGGGCUGACAAGAGGCUCAGGGAGCCCUCACGUUCUUUCGCUUUUUUACCUGCCAAUCAAACUGCUACAAGACAACACCCUGAUCUGGCAUGGACAUCGCGGGUCCAAGCCUGUAGCCCCAAAUCGGAUAAUCUCUGCAGCUGAUAACAAGCAAAAGAGAAGCCAGGCAACAGCCAUAUUAAAGAAGAAAACAAUCAACUCUGAGGAAGAAAUGUAAUGAAUUGAGUGCUGUCAGAGAUGUCUUCUGUUUGAACAAUCUGCGAUGGGCUGAAUGGCAGGGACUCCCUCAUCCAGUGCAGACACAGCCCAGGCAGACAGAAGGAAACGGAGCAUUAAUCCAACUGCAGUCACCCCAAAGUACAGGCCAUUUGGAUCCAGAAGAGAAACUGGUUCCUUCUACAAGC